UGGAUAGGUAACGUGCCCCGUACUCUGGGAUAGCCAUCCGAAAGGGUGGGUAAUACCGGAUAAUAUCACCGAUCGAUGGGUUGGUGAUCAAAGAUUUAUCGGCGCGGGAGCGGCCUAUCUCCUAUCAGCUAGUUGGUGAGGUAACGGCCCCACCAAGGCGAAGACGGGUAGCGGGACUGAGAGGUUGGCCCGCCACAUCGGAACUGAGAUACUGUCCGGACCCCCACGGGGGGCUGCAGUAACGGAUAUUGGGCAAUGGGCGAAAGCCUGACCCAGCGACGCCGCGUGCGGGAGGAAGUCCUUCGGGAUGUAAACCGCUGUCAGGGGGAAGUAAAGUCCGUUUCGGCGGAUUGAUCUAACCCAGAGGAAGUCACGGCUAACUCUGUGCCAGCAGCCGCGGUAGGACAGAGGUGGCUAGCGUUGUUCGGUAUCACUGGGCUUAAAGCGUGUGUAGGCGGAAGCGUAAGCAUUUUGUGAAAUCCCCCGGCUUAACCGGGGAAUUGCUUGAUGUACUGCGUUUCUUGAGGCAGGUAGGGGUGCGAGGAACUCUUGGUGGAGCGGUGGAAUGCGUAGAUAUCAAGAGGAACGCCGGUGGUGAAGACGUCGCACUGGGCCUGUCCUGACGCUGAGACACGAAAGGCGUGGGGAGCGAACGGGAUUAGAUACCCCGGUAGUCCACGCCGUAAACGAUGCCUACUAGAUUGUGGCGGUUCUGACGCCGGCACAGUCGAAGCCAAAGUGUUAAGUAGGCCGCCUGGGGAGUACGGUCGC
This 771-nucleotide ribosomal RNA is filed under the name uncultured bacterium. Its description in RNAcentral is "bacterial SSU rRNA". It matches the Rfam family "Bacterial small subunit ribosomal RNA", at positions 114 to 889 of the family's 1533-position model. The record is from RNAcentral.